GUGGCAGCACCCGCAGCGGCGGUGGCGGGUCCGACGCGGGUCCGGCGCUGCGGCGAUGGCUGUGCCCGGGCAGGGCGCGGGGGCUGCGCGGCGCCGCGAGCGGCUCCUGCUGCCGCUGCUGCUGCUCGGCCUGGCGGCAUUUUUGCCAGUGUUCGUGUACUCAUUGAAGGUGUCUCCACUCAUAGAAAAAAUAAGUGACCACAAGGAUUUUAAGAAGCUUCUCAGGACACGGAAUAACAUACUGGUGCUGUAUUCCAGAUCUGCUGCUGCUGCGGAAAGCUCACUCAGGUUGCUGUCCAGCGUAGCCCAGGAGGUGAAAGGACGAGGCACUAUAAGCUGGAUAGACUGUGGUGAUACUGAAAGCCGAAAAUUAUGCAAGAAGAUGAAAGUAGAUCCUAAUUCAAAGGAGAAAGGAGUGGAAUUACUCCAUUAUAAGGAUGGUGCAUUUCAUACUGAAUAUAACAGAGCGGUAACUCUGAAGUCUAUAGUGGCCUUUCUGAAGGAUCCAGAAGGUGCUCCACUGUGGGAGGAGGAUCCGGAAGCCAAAGAUGUUGUACAUGUUGACAGUGAAAAGGAGUUGAGAAGGCUUCUGAAGAAGGAAGACAAACCUCUUCUAAUGAUGUUCUAUGCUCCAUGGUGUGGUGUUUGUAAGAGAAUGAUGCCAUCUUAUCAGCAGGCAGCCACAGAACUGAAGGGUAAAUAUGUUCUUGCUGGGAUGAAUGUUUACUCUGCAGAAUUUGAAAGGAUAAAGGAAGAAUACAAUGUCCGGGGAUAUCCUACAAUCUGCUAUUUUGAGAAAGGAAAGUUCCUGUUCCACUUCGAGAACUAUGGUGCUACUGCAGCAGAUAUAGCAGAGUGGCUAAAAAACCCACAGGCACCUCAGCCACAGGCCCCAGAGACUCCCUGGGCAGAUGAAGAAAAUGUAGUUUAUCACCUGACUGAUGAGGACUUCGACAAGUUUAUAAAAGAUCAUUCAUCUGUGCUAGUGAUGUUCCAUGCACCAUGGUGUGGGCACUGUAAGAAAAUGAAGCCAGAAUAUGAGAAGGCUGCAGAGUUUCUCCAUGUAGCAAGUGAUAGUCCAGGUGUCCUUGCAGCAGUUGAUGCUACCGUCAACAAGGCGCUGGCAGAAAGAUACCACAUCUCAGGGUUUCCUACUUUGAAAUAUUUUAAAGAUGGAGAGGAGAAAUACACUCUGCCACACCUCAGAACAAAGAAGAAGAUCAUCGACUGGCUGCAAAAUCCUGAAGCACCACCUCCACCUGAGCCUGCAUGGGAAGAAAAACAGACUAGCGUUAUGCACCUUGCUGGCGAAGACUUCAGGGAGUCCUUGAAGAAGAAGAAGCACACCCUUGUCAUGUUCUAUGCACCUUAUCGCCUAUGCUGCAGUGGACUGUGCCAAAGGACAGAAUCAUGACCUGUGUAAGCAGGAGGGGGUUGAUGGCUAUCCCACCUUCAACUACUACAACUACGGGAAAUUUGUGGAAAAAUAUACUGGAGAAAGAGGGGAGUCUGGAUUCACCACUUUCAUGCGAACCCUGAGAGAAAGAGACCAUGAAAGAGUAGGAAAGAAGAAGGAUGAAUUGUAGUUUCUGCCUCAAAAGAAGCUUUCCGCUGCACUGUGAAUGGUUCCAGGUCUUUUGUUAAUGCACCUGAGACGUCACAUAUUCUCAAGACAGAGACUUUUUUUUAUAAACAGCCAUGGCCAUUUUGUACAAUUUUGAAAUAAAGUGAAACCACUUGAUUUUUGAAAGAAAAAUAAAUUAGAAUGUUGCCAUAAUGUUUUAAAGAAAACUUGGCAUUUUCUCUCAUUUUUGGGAGACUAUGCCCACUGACACUCCUAUGCAAUAUUUUUGUAGUCUGUAGUGUGUCUGUAGGUGAUGUUGUUUGAUAGGGUGAAUCUUUUUUUAAAGGUAUUGCUGUACAUGUGGAAAACAAAGGGAAGGGUCAUGGUUUUUGUUUUUUGUUUGGGUUGUUCUUUGGGGUUUGGGGCAGGGGGCAGGUGUUUUUUAAACCAGUGAAGGAAAAUGGGACUUGUAAGACACAGAUUUAUCAAAAUGCAGUUUUACAUUCUUCUGAAAUAGUUACAUGUUCUUCAGUGAGAUUUGGGGAAACAAUUUUGAGGUGCUCAGGGAUAAAUAAGGUAUCUGAGUUAAUGAAGACAUUAACAUGGAUGAGUCCAGAUCUGCUGAUUUCAUUUAAAUCUCUCUGGUCUUUGAAUCAGGACUGUUUACAUAACUUUAUCGAAUGUAUUGAGUAAAUUAAGCCAAGUAUCAAAAAACAGCAGAGCAUGGGUAAAAUUAAAGUAAACCCUCCUUUUUUUGGCAUCAACAUUGUCAAAUGCAUCUGUAAGUUAUGGCAGGAGUGAUUAUCUUACAGGGGUAUACAGUUACCCUUAUAGGGUAUGCAGUCUUCUGUCACAUUGGGCCAUAUAAAAUAUGUGUUGGAAAGUGUUACGUUCAACUGUCUUGAUAAAUGCAUAAUGCUUCUGAUAAUGCAGUAAUGUAUAUUUUACGUGUUUACAUUUCAAAGGUUUAUCUGCAGUUGUAUGUGGGAUUUUUCCAUUUUGCUCUUUAAGAAAUUGCAUAAACAAUCUCUGACAAAAUCAUCGCUGUAAAAGCUGUAUUAGCAGCAGCUGAAAUCUGUUUCACUCCUGAUGCUUUAAAAAGAAAAGAUUGAUCUGGAGGUACUUAUGUCUUCAUAGGAGGGGAAAGGGAGGGGCAGGAAGUUGUGAUUCACUUUGAACUAAAAAUAAAUUUAAAAAAAGACAA
Molecule: RNA transcript, 2768 nt
Organism: Neopsephotus bourkii (Bourke's parrot)
Lineage: Eukaryota; Metazoa; Chordata; Aves; Psittaciformes; Psittacidae
Gene: PDIA5
Gene name: protein disulfide isomerase family A member 5
Exons: 16
Source: RefSeq, a predicted model, not a curated record